Molecule: ribosomal RNA, 119 nt
Filed under: Petromyzon marinus (sea lamprey)
Lineage: Eukaryota; Metazoa; Chordata; Hyperoartia; Petromyzontiformes; Petromyzontidae
Source: RNAcentral
ACGUAAAACCAAAUCACCUUAAAGCCACGCUGUCUCGUCAGAUCCCAAAAGCGAAGCAAGGUUUAGAUCUGGUUAGCACUUGGAUGGGUGACCACCACCGGGGAUUGCUAGGUGUCGUA